This 1243-nucleotide ribosomal RNA is filed under the name metagenome. RNAcentral's name for it is "bacterial LSU rRNA". It matches the Rfam family "Bacterial large subunit ribosomal RNA", at positions 1564 to 2816 of the family's 2925-position model. The record is from RNAcentral.
UGAAUACGAGACGCUAAGGCGUCGAAGUAGUGUAUGUCAUGCUUCCAAGAAAAGCUUGCACUGUCAUAGAUAAAAAACGCCUGUACCAUAACCGACACAGGUGGGUAGGUAGAGUAUACUAAGGGGCGCGAGAUAACUCUCUCUAAGGAACUCGGCAAAAUAACUCCGUAACCUCGGGAGAAGGAGUGCCUUAUUCUUAAGGUUGCAAUAACAAGAUCCAAGCAACUGUUUAUCAAAAACACAGGUCUCCGCUAAGUCGUAAGACGAUGUAUGGGGGCUGACGCCUGCCCAGUGCCAGAAGGUUAAAGAAGUUGGUUAGCAUUUGCGAAGCUGAUAACUGAAGCCCUGGUGAACGGCGGCCGUAACAAUAACGGUCCUAAGGUAGCGAAAUUCCUUGUCGGGUAAGUUCCGACCCGCACGAAAGGCGUAAUGAUUUGGAUACUGUCUCGGAGAGGGGCUCGGUGAAAUAGACUUGUCUGUGAAGAUGCGGACUACCUGCACCAGGACAGAAAGACCCUAUGAAGCUUUACUGUAACUUGAAAUUGAAAUUGGACUUUAUUCGCGCAGCAUAGGUGGGAGGCGUUGAUUAUAAUCUCGUGGGAUUAUUGGAGCCAUCAGUGAGAUACCACUCUUGUAAUGUUAGAUUUCUAACUUUGAAUCAUUAUCUGGUCAAAGAACAGUUUCAGGCGGGCAGUUUGACUGGGGCGGUCGCCUCCUAAACGGUAACGGAGGCGUACAAAGGUUUCCUCUGAACGGUUAGAAAUCGUAUCUAGAGUGUAAAGGCAUAAGGAAGCUUGACUGUGAGACCUACAAGUCGAGCAGGGACGAAAGUCGGUCUUAGUGAUCUGACGGUACUGAGUGGAAAGGCCGUCACUCAACGGAUAAAAGUUACUCUAAGGAUAACAGGCUGAUCUCCCCCAAGAGUUCACAUCGACGGGGAGGUUUGGCACCUCGAUGUCGGCUCAUCGCAUCCUGGGGCGGUAGUACGUCCCAAGGGUUGGGCUGUUCGCCCAUGAAAGCGGUACGCGAGCUGGGUUCAGAACGUCGUGAGACAGUUCGGUCCAUAUCCGGUGUAGGCGUUAGAAUAUUGAGAGGAGCCUUCUUUAGUACGAGAGGACCGAGAAGGACAUACCUCUGGUGUACCAGUUAUCGUGCCAACGGUAAACGCUGGGUAGCUAUGUAUGGAGUGGAUAACCGCUGAAAGCAUCUAAGUGGGAAGCCCACCUCAAGAUAAGUAUUCUCC